UACGAAGGGGGCUAGCGUUGUUCGGAAUUACUGGGCGUAAAGCGCGCGCAGGCGGCUAUCCAAGUCAGUGGUGAAAGCCCCGGGCUCAACCCUGGGAAUGGCAAUGGAUACUGGCAAGCUAGAGUGCGGUAGAGGGUAGUGGAAUUCCCGGUGUAGCGGUGAAAUGCGUAGAGAUCGGGAGGAACACCAGUGGCGAAGGCGGCUCACUGGCCCGGUACUGACGCUGAGGUGCGAAAGCGUGGGGAGCAAACAGG
RNAcentral lists this ribosomal RNA (254 nucleotides) under uncultured bacterium. RNAcentral's name for it is "partial 16S ribosomal RNA". It matches the Rfam family "Bacterial small subunit ribosomal RNA", at positions 524 to 776 of the family's 1533-position model. The record is from RNAcentral.